Molecule: ribosomal RNA, 597 nt
Filed under: Triticum aestivum (bread wheat)
Lineage: Eukaryota; Viridiplantae; Streptophyta; Magnoliopsida; Poales; Poaceae
Description: partial small subunit ribosomal RNA
Source: RNAcentral
AUGACUACCUUGGAUACGACCAAAAAUAUUGCAUACAUGCAUAUUUAUCAGAUGAUUUCUAGUGCAAACUAUUCAAUAAUCUAUUUAUGUUAUCCAGAACAAAAAUACUUCACACACUUUUGUGUUUUGUCUAAUUGCAGGUGUAUGGGACAUUUGUACAAUCCACAUAUGAAGAUAGGGGAAAAGGAGAAGUUUAGGUUCUGUUCAAAAAGACUUCUCACGUCACUUUUGGGCCAAGAGAAGAUAGAGUCCAAGUCUCUCACGUUCUGGAUUCAGAUUCGGACUGCACAGACAUACCUGACUCAAAACGCCGACAACUUUUUCAUAUGGACUCCGAAUUGGGUGAUUCUUUUCUUGUUGGAAAGUGGAUUUCGUCCUCUUUCCAACCCAAUUGGAUUCACCUUUAAAUUCGUCCGGAGCGUUGAGAUAUGGACGAAACAAUCUGACGCUGCAGCAGAAUCUGAGUCAAACAACAAGUCCAAAGGUGUUGCAUCACCUCCACUUGGGCCCAUGAGCCUUGUACGACCUAGGGUUGGUUUUAGGCUGCCCUGGGACGUCCUCCCACCUCCUUGGCCGCCACCCCUUGCUCCUAUAUAA